This 86-nucleotide transfer RNA is filed under the name Bacillota bacterium. RNAcentral describes it as "Firmicutes bacterium (anaerobic digester metagenome) tRNA-Leu". It matches the Rfam family "tRNA". From Rfam's summary of the family: Transfer RNA (tRNA) molecules are approximately 80 nucleotides in length. Their secondary structure includes four short double-helical elements and three loops (D, anti-codon, and T loops). Further hydrogen bonds mediate the characteristic L-shaped molecular structure. tRNAs have two regions of fundamental functional importance: the anti-codon, which is responsible for specific mRNA codon recognition, and the 3' end, to which the tRNAs corresponding amino acid is attached (by aminoacyl-tRNA synthetases). tRNAs cope with the degeneracy of the genetic code in two manners: having more than one tRNA (with a specific anti-codon) for a particular amino acid; and 'wobble' base-pairing, i.e. permitting non-standard base-pairing at the 3rd anti-codon position. The record is from RNAcentral. RNAcentral also lists the same sequence under 1 other name. Lineage: Bacteria; Bacillati; Bacillota.
GCGAGAGUGGCGGAACGGCAGACGCGCCAGGUUCAGGACCUGGUGCCCGCAAGGGUGUGGGGGUUCAAAUCCCCCCUCUCGCACCA